This 521-nucleotide ribosomal RNA is filed under the name uncultured Glomeraceae. RNAcentral describes it as "SSU rRNA". It matches the Rfam family "Eukaryotic small subunit ribosomal RNA", at positions 569 to 1092 of the family's 1831-position model. Lineage: Eukaryota; Fungi; Glomeromycota; Glomeromycetes; Glomerales; Glomeraceae. The record is from RNAcentral.
AGCAGCCGCGGUAAUUCCAGCUCCAAUAGCGUAUAUUAAAGUUGCUGCAGUUAAAAAGCUCGUAGUUGAAUUUCGGGACCAAUAUGUCAGUCGUGCCUCGGUACGUACUGGCAUCGUUGGUUUCUCCCUUCUGACGAACCAUGAUGUCAUUUAUUUGGUGUCGUGGGAAAUCAGGACUGUUACUUUGAAAAAAUUAGAGUGUUUAAAGCAGGCUCACGCUUGAAUACAUUAGCAUGGAAUAAUGAAAUAGGACGUUUGAUUCUAUUUUGUUGGUUUCUAGGAUCGACGUAAUGAUUAAUAGGGAUAGUUGGGGGCAUUAGUAUUCAAUUGUCAGAGGUGAAAUUCUUGGAUUUAUUGAAGACUAACUACUGCGAAAGCAUUUGCCAAGGAUGUUUUCAUUAAUCAAGAACGAAAGUUAGGGGAUCGAAGACGAUCAGAUACCGUCGUAGUCUUAACCAUAAACUAUGCCGACUAGGGAUCGGAUGAUGUUAAUUUUUUAAUGACUCAUUCGGCGCCUUACG